This is a long non-coding RNA of Dicentrarchus labrax (European seabass), 438 nucleotides long. RefSeq lists it as uncharacterized. The record is from RefSeq and is a predicted model, not a curated record. The transcript is spliced from 3 exons. NCBI's taxonomy places the organism in Eukaryota, Metazoa, Chordata, Actinopteri, Moronidae.
GGCAAAGAAACGCCUGAUAUAGAAUAUUUAAAGUUAGUAAUAUAUUUGUACAGCCUCUACUUGAGGACUCUGACUGAGAAGCUACGCCAGACCUCAAAUGCAAGAGGAGUGUGAGAUUCCAUAGAUGAAGGUUGCCUGCAGUCAGGUAUGAUGGCCCGAGGCCUCCGGUUAAAUCCCCAGCCCAGACGUCUGCACAGCCCUAGUCUGCCUCAUCGGGAGUCCUGCAUUGAUUGCUGCUUUAGUCCCCCCUCAUUGUUAAUGGGAACCCUGCAUUGUGAGGGGGCCACUUGCAUUGUGAAGGGCCUCUUGUAAUGUUGUCUUGCUGAGUGCUGGAGAAUUGGCUGUGUAGGCACCGACCUGCCAGCGGCUCCUGUGAGGUCUUGUUGACCUGCUGAAUGGAGCCACCUGAGAGUCAAUCAGGGCACCGAAAUACCUCAA